AUUGAACGCUGGCGGCAGGCCUAACACAUGCAAGUCGAGCGGGGACUCCGGUCCUAGCGGCGCACGGGUGAGUAAUGCGUGGGAAUCUGCCCAGUAGUGGGGGAUAACGUCUCGAAAGGGACGCUAAUACCGCAUACGUUCUACGGGAGAAAGAGGGGGAUCUUCGGACCUCUCGCUAUUGGUUGAGCCCAAGUCGGAUUAGCUAGUUGGUAGGGUAAUGGCCUACCAAGGCGACGAUCCGUAGCCGGUCUGAGAGGAUGAUCAGCCACACUGGAACUGAGACACGGUCCAGACUCCUACGGGAGGCAGCAGUGGGGAAUAUUGGACAAUGGGCGAAAGCCUGAUCCAGCCAUGCCGCGUGUGUGAAGAAGGCCUUCGGGUUGUAAAGCACUUUAAGCGGGGAGGAAGGUCAGCGGGCUAAUACCUCGCUGUUUUGACGUUACCCGCAGAAUAAGCACCGGCUAACUCUGUG
This 472-nucleotide ribosomal RNA is filed under the name uncultured bacterium. Its description in RNAcentral is "partial 16S ribosomal RNA". It matches the Rfam family "Bacterial small subunit ribosomal RNA", at positions 30 to 507 of the family's 1533-position model. The record is from RNAcentral.